RNAcentral lists this ribosomal RNA (616 nucleotides) under uncultured bacterium. RNAcentral's name for it is "bacterial SSU rRNA". It matches the Rfam family "Bacterial small subunit ribosomal RNA", at positions 338 to 957 of the family's 1533-position model. The record is from RNAcentral.
CCUACGGGAGGCAGCAGUAGGGAAUAUUGGGCAAUGGACGCAAGUCUGACCCAGCCAUGCCGCGUGCAGGAAGAAGGCGUUAUGCGUUGUAAACUGCUUUUAUACAGGAAGAAACGACCCUUGCGAGAGGCAUUGACGGUACUGUAUGAAUAAGCACCGGCUAACUCCGUGCCAGCAGCCGCGGUAAUACGGAGGGUGCAAGCGUUGUCCGGAUUUAUUGGGUUUAAAGGGUGCGCAGGUGGUUUAUUAAGUCAGUGGUGAAAGACGGUCGCUCAACGAUUGCAGUGCCAUUGAAACUGGUAGACUUGAGUAAAGUAGAGGUGGGCGGAAUUGAUAGUGUAGCGGUGAAAUGCAUAGAUAUUAUCAAGAACUCCAAUUGCGAAGGCAGCUCACUUGGCUUUUACUGACACUCAUGCACGAAAGUGUGGGUAUCAAACAGGAUUAGAUACCCUGGUAGUCCACACUGUAAACGAUGAUAACUAGGUGUCGGCCGAAUCUGGUCGGUGCCACAGCGAAAGCGUUAAGUUAUCCACCUGGGGAGUACGCCGGCAACGGUGAAACGUCAAAGAGUAGUACGACGNGAGAGAGCGACGACGGACGACGAGGAGGGAGGAGG